AACGAACGCUGGCGGCAGGCUUAACACAUGCAAGUCGAGCGAAGACUUCGGUCUUAGCGGCGGACGGGUGAGUAACGCGUGGGAACGUGCCCUUCUCUACGGAACAGUCCUGGGAAACUGGGUUUAAUACCGUAUACGCCCUUUUGGGGAAAGAUUUAUCGGAGAAGGAUCGGCCCGCGUUGGAUUAGGUAGUUGGUGGGGUAAUGGCCUACCAAGCCUACGAUCCAUAGCUGGUUUGAGAGGAUGAUCAGCCACACUGGGACUGAGACACGGCCCAGACUCCUACGGGAGGCAGCAGUGGGGAAUAUUAGACAAUGGGCGCAACCCUGAUCCAGCCAUGCCGCGUGAGUGAUGAAGGCCUUAGGGUUGUAAAGCUCUUUCGCACGCGACGAUAAUGACGGUAGCGUGAGAAGAAGCCCCGGCUAACUUCGUGCCAGCCGCCGCCGUAAUAC
RNAcentral lists this ribosomal RNA (452 nucleotides) under uncultured bacterium. Its description in RNAcentral is "bacterial SSU rRNA". It matches the Rfam family "Bacterial small subunit ribosomal RNA", at positions 29 to 526 of the family's 1533-position model. The record is from RNAcentral.